GUGGAAGCACGGUAACGUGUGGAGCUGACCAAUACUAAUCGGUCGAGGGCUUAUCCAAAU
Molecule: ribosomal RNA, 60 nt
Filed under: Paenibacillus sp. P46E
Lineage: Bacteria; Bacillati; Bacillota; Bacilli; Caryophanales; Paenibacillaceae
Description: partial 23S ribosomal RNA
Source: RNAcentral